AGUGAACGCUGGCGGUAGGCCUAACACAUGCAAGUCGAACGGCAGCACAGUAAGAGCUUGCUCUUACGGGUGGCGAGUGGCGGACGGGUGAGGAAUACAUCGGAAUCUACUUUUUCGUGGGGGAUAACGUAGGGAAACUUACGCUAAUACCGCAUACGACCUACGGGUGAAAGCAGGGGAUCUUCGGACCUUGCGCGAUUGAAUGAGCCGAUGUCGGAUUAGCUAGUUGGCGGGGUAAAGGCCCACCAAGGCGACGAUCCGUAGCUGGUCUGAGAGGAUGAUCAGCCACACUGGAACUGAGACACGGUCCAGACUCCUACGGGAGGCAGCAGUGGGGAAUAUUGGACAAUGGGCGCAAGCCUGAUCCAGCCAUACCGCGUGGGUGAAGAAGGCCUUCGGAUUGUAAAGCCCUUUUGUUGGGAAAGAAAAGCAGCAGGUUAAUACCCCGCUGUUCUGACGGUACCCAAAGAAUAAGCACCGGCUAACCUCGUG
Molecule: ribosomal RNA, 492 nt
Filed under: uncultured bacterium
Lineage: Bacteria
Description: partial 16S ribosomal RNA
Rfam family: Bacterial small subunit ribosomal RNA
Source: RNAcentral